UAAAAAAUAGCAUUGGAAUAGCAGAAAUAACUUCACAUACAUGAUGUCUUAAUAAUACUGGGAAUAUACGAUCUGAAACAUUACACUCAUAUUUGGGUAGUGAAAAUGCUAAUUAUUUGGGUAAAUUACAGAACUUGUAGCCUUUGGGCAACAAAAAUAUUGAAGGGUUUAUUUAUUAAUAUUAGUGCACUCCAAGAUGCUACAGUCAAUCUUCUUCCUGGAAAACUUCACAAAUAUCGAAGGCCUUGAGCUUGAAGCUUUAUCAAGAGUGCAAUGCAAAAGGCCUUUGUCAAUCUUGUUCCUGCAAAAAGAAAUACGAUUUAGGAAGUUCGAAAUCAUGUGAAAAUCGACCACGUGAACUAUGUAAUAGUAUUAUGUUGUGCACUUAAUUUUUUGGCUUAAUAUCAUACCUCUUGCAUCUACAAGGGAUUUCAGUUCUCCAGUCCUGGUAUUAUCAACGGAACUAAUAGAAGUGCUUAGGCAAACUUGCCCUGAAUCUAGCACUCCAGUUGGCCAACUCCUCCUGCUUGUUGUGCCUCAGGUCGUAACUAAAAUAGCCCCUCCCCUGCCAAAAGGAAGGUUUUUAUGACGAUCUUCUGUGAUGAACACAUGUUAUGGGUUCAUCCACUUCUUUCUACACACAAAUCUGAUCACGAACACAGCGGAGAGCACUGAAAAGAACAACGUUGCCUGUCCGAUGGUGUUCACUUAUUUACUAUAUGCCAUGAUGCCUUACCUUGUAAGAAAAAUAAUGAGAUACAGACUGCACUUACUGAACUCUUCCAAUGAUUUGCCGACAUCACUGCCCACAGACUGAACCAAGUGUAUCUUGCCUGAAAAUAUUACAUUUCCCAUACAUCAAGAUCUUAAAAAUGGAAACGAACAAAACCAAAAAUUCUGCAAAUAAUGAGAAUGUCAUGAAUUCAGAGAUGAAAGAACAAUAUCUGAGAAUUAGGGGAGUCUAAAUUAAGCUGCAUGAAAGCAACAAUAGAGUCCUUGACUCGACAGGCAGCUCCCAGUUGUAGGUAGGUCUGUUUUCUAACUAAGCUGCAUUCUGCCUGCAGUGAAGCUAAAUCUGCAAGCGCAAUAGCAAACUUUUCUUUUGGUUGUGUAGCUAGAAUAGGUCCAUUGUACUGUACUAUUGUUUUGCCUGAUUGUUUUGUCUCCAAUGGUGAAAUCUUUAUUGAUGGGAAUAUAACACUGUUCAUGCAAAUUUGAUGGAUAUUUUUGUUACCCAUUGGUGCACCGUAUGGAGAAAAUAGAAGAGGGAUAUCGGUUACUACUAUUUAGAUUUAUGUGCAACUGAACACUAAAUAACUUAUUUUUGCUACCCGUUCGUGCUUGCUAUGGAAAAAAUAGAGGCAUUUCUCCCCCAUUUUAUUAGUUGGUGGUUCCAUCAAUGAUAAUCGAUAAAAGUUCAAUUCUGUAAAUUAGAAAGGCCCGCACAUGAACAUCCCUCAAGAUAAAGGCUGCAUUUACAUGGAAGGCGAAAAAACAUGAGAAAAUUGUUAAGUAUUAGCUUGUCAAGAACUGAUAGAUUUCAGUUUUAGGCAUGGAUCUGAGGUAUCUUGAAUUGGAGUUCCUUGCACCUUGAUUCAAAUUCUGUUCACAAUAUUAAUCUAGAAAGAAACUCACCUUAUACUUGGAAUGAUGCAAAGCCUGCACCGUGUCUUGAAAAUCCACAUACAUACUUUCAAAUAUCGGUAAGAUUAUUGGGCUUUGCUCACUUCUGCAUAGAAGAAGAAGAUACUGAGGCUUCACCCCCCUCUAUAACAGUAUGGCUACAUUCUUUUGCGCAUAUGACUACACUGUUCCACUUAAUCUGUUGAGUACAACAACAAAUAGAAGAACCAUGGUGUGGAUAACAGAUAUAUGAGUAAUAUUCUAUGCUGUAAAAACGUGGAUGGUAAAACAUGAAUAGAUAAAAUGAAAUCUGGUAGUCCAAGUGAAUUAAUUACCUGUCCAGAAGCCAUUAGAACUAUCACCUGAAGAAUUUCAGAAAAAAAAUGCGAGAACCAGUUUCCAAUAUCUAGCCGAAUUAAUCGACCAUCUCCCAGUUUGAACAAUACCUGUACAAAAUUGAAACAAGUAUAGAUAACCCCCAGAAGUAUCCCGUUUGGAUCACAUAACCCCCCAAUGUUUAAAACUGAGUUCUUAAUCCCCUGAACUUUUCUAAACCGGACAUAUCACCCCCUGGCACCCACUUAAGUGGUUCGGGAAGGUGGUUUUGCAUAUGUGGCGCCUGGGCUGGGCCCAUCGACCGGCCACGUCGGACUGGGCCUGCUGGGAGUGAUAGAUGAUUACAUUGCCCCAUGCUACAAGAUAUCUGAGUACAACAAGAUAUAUGAUCAUGUCCCGCAACCAGUGGAGGGAAAAGAGCCAAAACCUCAUCCACCUCCUCAUAGGGUAAUGCCAGGAAGAAAGAAGACAAAAAGAAGAAGAGAAGAAGGUGAGAAACCUCAGGGGAACAAGCUUUCAAAGAAAGGCAUUAAAAUUGCUUGUUCUAUGUGUGGGAGCUUUACUCAUAACAAGAGAACCUGUGAGCAGAAUCCAAACAAAGGUAAGAAACAAAAUGCUAGCUACACAAGAGCAGCAAAAAGAGCAAGGAGAAAGCAGCAAAAAGAUAUAGAAAAAACACACAGCAGGUAACUGUUAUCUCUGAAUUUUAAUGUGAUAUAUGUUCACUCUGAAAAUUAGUACUGAUCAUUUUGUUUCAGGUGGCACACCCAGGGAAGAGGACAAAGAAGCAACCAACAUCUACUUCAGCAAGACCAUCUUCUCAAGCAGCAUCUAAUCCAACAAGAAAGAAACAAUCAGCCGCAAGUCAAACUGCAAUGCCUACUGCAUCUUCUCAACCAGUUCCAAGGGGAAGCCACAGUAGGAGUCACAACAAGGCUUCUUCAAGCUCACAGCAGAUGCAAGUGCCAAGAAAUAGCAGGCUGGAAUGGCUUCUCACUGGGAAAAAGUGAAUGCCCAGAUUGUUUUUCAAUGUCACGUAGUUGAUGUGUAACACCAGAUAGAAGUGUGUGCUUUUAUUUGAUGUGAAACAUCAAAUUCCUUGACAAUUAAGUGUCGUUUGUGGAGUUUUGCAUGUCAAAGACCUGUAGCUUUUAUCAGGUUGAACCUGAGUAUGCCAUGGAACUUAUUGUGUGAAUUUAAGAUCUUCAAUGCUAUGGAAAUUUGCUAUCUAUUUCUGAAUUUGAUGGCAAUAAUUUGUACACUUCUGAUAAAAUAUCUUGCAACACACUAUUCCAUACAGAACAGUACAGUGAUAAAAUAUUUGCUAUCAAAAGUUUCCUUCUUUUACAUAGCAUUACAUACAGAACAGUAUAAUGAUCAACAAUUUGCUCUGAAAUUAUAUUGCUGUAGUACACUGCUGAAAAAUUACAAAGCUCACACUGAGUCCAUUGGGAGGCGAAGAGGCUGGGUCUGGGUCGAACCUGCUCGAGAGCGUCGUUUAGACCACACCCAGCAGGCCCAAUCCAACGUGGCCGAUCGACGGGCCCAGCCCAGGCGCCACAUAUGCAAAACCACCUUCCCAAACCACUUAAGUGGGUGCCAGGGGGGGCGAGGUUCUUGCUACCAGCACCCGCAACUGUUCCAGCUAGUCCGAGCAGCAAACAAGAUUUGAAGAGAACCAAGAUGAGCUCAGAUAUAGGGGAGGACAUUUUGGAAAAUAUUGACAGUCUUGGCAGGACCGUCUCUUCUUUGGCGGGCUCCUUUGAGGAGCGCCGCCGGGCCCAAUGAAUAUUUUCUGCUGGAACUGUCCUGGUGCGGGAAAAGCUGCGACAGUUCGGGAGCUUCGCGAUUUUGCGAGGCAAUUUUCCCCUAUCCUCUUUUGUAUUGUUGAAACACAGCUGGAAAGCGGGAGGGUAGAAGCACUAGCUGGUACUUUGGGUUUUGAUAAAUCUUAUGCUGUUAGUAGUCGAGGUAGAAGUGGAGGCAUUGGCUUGUUUUGGAAUGAUUCAAUAAAUGUUGAGAUCCUUGGCUACUCUGACUAUCAUUUAGAUGUUUCUAUUGAGGAACAAGGAAGAGAGAAUUGGAGGAUGACGUGUGUGUAUGGUGAGGCACAAACACAUUUGAGGCACCAAACAUGGACAACUUUGAAAAACGUUAGCACUUUGAGCACACUCCCUUGGCUAUGUGUGGGUGAUUUUAACGAAGUGUUACGUCCAGACGAGCACCAUGGUUUGGGUCAAAGGAGCAACGCUCAAAUCCAAGCUUUUCGUGAUGUUUUAGAUGUUUGCAUGUUUCUCGACUUGGGCUACAAAGGUAAUUUUUGGACCUUCGAGAAGAAGGUAACAGGCGGCACUUUCACAAGGUGCAGACUUGACCGGGCGCUAGUCAGUGCAGAGUGGUUGACGAGGUUUCCACUAGCAUCAGUUACACAUUUGACGGGGGUUACAUCGGACCAUUCACCAUUGUUGCUCGAACUGGAAGCUGGGACGACCAAUCAUGUUAAUCGCCCCUUCAGAUAUGAGACAAUGUGGAAGACACAUGAUAGUUUCCGGGAUGUGAUAAACCAGGGUUGGGGCGCAGGUCCUCCAUGCUCAACUGUGGAGGAGCCGCGACUGAAAUUGCAAGACCUGGCAAGGGAUUUAGGAAGAUGGAGUCGGGAUACAUUUGGAAGCGUGAGGAAAGAGAUAAAAAAUCUAAAGAAAUCUCUCGAUGAACUAAAGAGUGAUCCUCUAAGGACAGGCCCAACUUACACCGAGUUGAAGAUCAAUGAAAGGCUAAUUGAGAUGUAUCACAGAGAAGAAAUCAUGUGGCGCCAGAGAGCUAGGGUCGAAUGGCUUUCUGCAGGCGACAAAAAUACAAAGUUUUUUCAUCUCAGGGCCAGCUUGAGGAGGAAAAAGAAUAUGAUCAAGGCACUACAGAACUCUUUGGGUGUUGAGAUAUCUGAUCCGGGAGAGCUAAAGGCGAUGGCACAUGAUUUUUAUCAAUCCUUGUACCGGUCCGAGGGAGUUCAAAACUUGGAUGCAGUGCUAAACCAUGUGCCGCGUAAGGUAACAGCAGCAAUGAAUACUAGUCUGUGUGCGCCAUACACCAAAGAGGAAGUUAAAAUUGCUCUGUUUCAAAUGUUUUCAACCAAAGCUCCGAGGCCCGAUGGUUUUCCUGCACACUUCUAUCAGAGACAUUGGGAAGUUUGUGGGGACGAAGUAACAAGAAUAGUUCUGAGAAUUGUGAACGGCGAGGAGAGCCCAGAAUCCAUCAAUGAUACAGUGCUUGUUUUAAUCCCCAAGGUAACUACUCCAAAAGUACUUGCUCAAUUCCGUCCCAUAAGUCUAUGCAACGUUCUAUAUAAAAUAGCUUCAAAGGUGAUAGCUAACAGAUUGAAAGUGAUCUUACCUGACAUAAUCUCUGAGGAACAAUCAGCUUUUGUCCCUGGAAGGCUUAUCACAGACAAUAUCAUUUGCGCUUAUGAGUGCUUGCAUUUUAUGAAGAGGUCGAGAUCAAAAUCCAACAGCUUUUGUGCUUUGAAGCUGGACAUGAUGAAGGCAUAUGAUAGAUUGGAAUGGAACUACCUGAGAGGUAUCAUGACAAAGUUGGGUUUUGACCAGCACUGGAUAGAUAUUGUUAUGGGUAUGGUAUCCUCGGUAUCUUUUUCUGUAUGUUUCAAUGGUGAAAAACUUGAUUCUUUCAAGCCUACACAAGGUAUUCGGCAGGGAGACCCAAUCUCCCCCUACUUGUUCUUGAUUGCAGCAGAGGGCCUCUCGUGCCUCCUUAAAUCAAGUUCUCAGUCGUCACUAACAGGAAUUCAGGUGGCUCCUUCGGCUCCUACUGUUAACCAUCUCCUGUUUGCAGAUGACAGCCUGUUGCUAUUCAAGGCCAGUGGGGAGGGAUCAAUUCAGGUGUCAAACCUACUUGAUAUUUACUGUCAGGCGUCAGGACAAAGAAUCAACAAUGAGAAAUCUUCAAUUUUCUUCAGUAAGGGCUGCCCUGCACAGUUGAAAGAAACUAUAAAGACCAACUUGCAAGUGUUGAAUGAGUCUUUGAGUGAACGCUACCUGGGUAUGCCGACGGAUGUUGGACACUCGAAGAACGGUACGUUUAAAUACCUUCGGGACAGAGUCUGGGAAAAGAUCAAAGGAUGGAUGGAGAAGUUACUGUCUGCUGCUGGUAAGGAAGUUUUAAUUAAAUCUGUAGCACAAGCGAUCCCCGUGUAUUCGAUGUCGUGCUUCAGAUUACCAAGGGGUCUCUGUGAUAGUAUCACGUCGAUUAUCCGACAAUUUUGGUGGGGUUCCAAGCAAGGGAAGAGGAAGCCUAGCUGGGUAGCAUGGGAUAUAUUAACCAUGCCGAAGCAUUUGGGAGGUUUGGGUUUCCGCGACUUGGAAAUCUUCAACCUAGCAUUGUUAGCAAGGCAGGCUUGGCGCACACUCACAGAUGAUACAUCUCUCAGCGCUCGAAUCCUCAAGGCAGUGUAUUUCCCGAAAUGUUCUUUACUUCAAGCCGAACUGGGAGCACACCUGUCUCAAAUAUGGAGGGCUAUAUUGGAUGGGCGCGAUAUCCUUGCACAAGGUGUGGUGCGCAGAAUAGGGGAUGGUGCAAUGACGGAUAUAUGGCAACACAACUGGAUUCCUCGAGACAGUUUCAAGCGCCCUAUAACAUCUCUGACGCCAAAUCCUCCGGUGAGAGUGGCACAACUCAUCGACAGCACUUCUGCUUGCUGGAACGAGGGCUUGGUCCGAACUGUGUUCACUCAUUUUGACGCCGAGGCGAUUUUCACAAUCCCGCUAUGCACGCGUCGAGUCGAGGAUUUAUGGGCAUGGCAUCAUGAUCCUAGAGGAAGAUUCAGCGUCCGGUCUGCCUAUCACAUGAUUCUUAAGACAAAGCAUAGCAGGGAGGCAUGGCUAAAUGAGGAGGGUGGGACUUCAUAUGAGUUCAGUGAAUCCAACAACUGGUCAACAAUUUGGCAUAUCCAAGUGCCCUCAAAGCUAAAGAUGUUUCUAUGGCGCUUAGCCAGGCAUUCGAUGCCAACGGGGACCGUUUUGGAGCACCGGAACAUGGCAACAGAAAAUACAUGUCUACUCUGUGGAGCCGUGGACACAUGGAAGCAUGCACUGCUCUCAUGUCCCAUGUCUGCAAGUGUAUGGGCGCUUGCUCCUGAAGAACUGGUGCAUCAUAUGCUAGAACGCGGCAAGGAGCAUCUGAAGGAUUGGCUGUUUGCAAUCCAUGAAAUACUAUCUAAAGAGAUUUUUGAUCGCUUGGUGGUCUCACUUUGGGCGAUAUGGGGAGCCAGAAGGAAAGCCAUCCAUGAGAACAUUUAUCAAUCACCCCAUUCUGUGAGCAGUUUUAUAUCAAGUUACUUGGGGGAGCUGAAGAUGAUAAAUGCCAAGAACUAGGUCGUGACGGUGCAUAGAUCCAAGAACGCAAAAAGGUGGAUACCCCCGACUGCGGACAAUGCUAUGAUGAACGUUGACGCGGCUGUGUCUAGGCAGGGUUUCGGGUCUAUUGGGGUGAUAUGCAGAGACCAAUCAGGUCGUUUCAUCGGUGCAUCCACCUGCGGUUUCAGAAACAUUGUAGAUCCACCAACCCUUGAAGCCCUGGCGAUCAGGGAAGCACUGGCACUGGCACAUGAUCUAUAUCUACGACAGAUUGAAGUGGCGUCGGAUUGCAAAGUGGUAGUGGAGGAUCUACAGAAGGAUAAUCUGGCGAGCUACGGUGCAAUUGUACGUGAAAUAAUAGCCCAUUCUAAUUCUUUUGAAUUUUGUAGCUUUAGACAUGAAUUUAGGAGCUCCAAUUAUGAAGCUCACAACUUAGCGAGGCAUGCUUUAUCUCUUGGUGGUGGCCGCCGUGUUUGGUUAGGCCAUCCCGGGAACCUACCAUCUGUCCCUGUAAACAUUGUGACGAAUUAAUAAAGCUUCGCGACAUUGUCUCAAAGAAAAGUGGGUGCCAGGGUGUGAUAUUUCCGGUUUAGAAUAGUUCAGGGGAUUAAGAACUCGGUUUUAAACAUUGGGGGGUUAUGUGAUCCAAACGGGAUACUUCUGGGGGUUAUCUAUACUUUUUUCUACAAAAUUAGAUUGGGAGGAUACAAUGUAAUCAUUGUUACAAUGUAAUCGUUGGGUGGAAGAAGCAAAUCGUACAUGGAUGAUACAAAAUAAAGAUAGAUGGGAACCUAGAAGAGCACCAUGCUGAUGGAUGUUCUGUCGCCGGAG
This 8156-nucleotide long non-coding RNA is filed under the name Triticum aestivum (bread wheat). Its description in RNAcentral is "long non-coding RNA (TAES_LNC005397)". Lineage: Eukaryota; Viridiplantae; Streptophyta; Magnoliopsida; Poales; Poaceae. The record is from RNAcentral.